Molecule: ribosomal RNA, 549 nt
Filed under: Shigella sonnei
Lineage: Bacteria; Pseudomonadati; Pseudomonadota; Gammaproteobacteria; Enterobacterales; Enterobacteriaceae
Description: partial 23S ribosomal RNA
Rfam family: Bacterial large subunit ribosomal RNA
Source: RNAcentral
AUAUUGUGAGCUUGAUGAGUAGGGCGGGACACGUGGUAUCCUGUCUGAAUAUGGGGGGACCAUCCUCCAAGGCUAAAUACUCCUGACUGACCGAUAGUGAACCAGUACCGUGAGGGAAAGGCGAAAAGAACCCCGGCGAGGGGAGUGAAAAAGAACCUGAAACCGUGUACGUACAAGCAGUGGGAGCACGCUUAGGCGUGUGACUGCGUACCUUUUGUAUAAUGGGUCAGCGACUUAUAUUCUGUAGCAAGGUUAACCGAAUAGGGGAGCCGAAGGGAAACCGAGUCUUAACUGGGCGUUAAGUUGCAGGGUAUAGACCCGAAACCCGGUGAUCUAGCCAUGGGCAGGUUGAAGGUUGGGUAACACUAACUGGAGGACCGAACCGACUAAUGUUGAAAAAUUAGCGGAUGACUUGUGGCUGGGGGUGAAAGGCCAAUCAAACCGGGAGAUAGCUGGUUCUCCCCGAAAGCUAUUUAGGUAGCGCCUCGUGAAUUCAUCUCCGGGGGUAGAGCACUGUUUCGGCAAGGGGGUCAUCCCGACUUACCAACC